Molecule: transfer RNA, 66 nt
Filed under: Aeluroscalabotes felinus
Lineage: Eukaryota; Metazoa; Chordata; Lepidosauria; Squamata; Eublepharidae
Description: tRNA-Glu
Source: RNAcentral
GUUUUUGUAGUUGAAAUACAACAGUGGUUUUUCAGAUCACAGGUUUUGGGCAGCCAAAUAGAAACU